This 349-nucleotide transfer-messenger RNA is filed under the name Christensenellales. RNAcentral describes it as "UBA5893 sp944383375 Standard tmRNA". It matches the Rfam family "transfer-messenger RNA". Rfam says of the family: Bacterial tmRNA, also known as 10Sa RNA or SsrA, is named for its dual tRNA and mRNA-like properties. Its role is to liberate the mRNA from a stalled ribosome. RNAcentral also lists the same sequence under 1 other name. Lineage: Bacteria; Bacillati; Bacillota; Clostridia. The record is from RNAcentral.
GGGGACGUUUUGGUUUCGACGGGGAAGACAACUUGGGAUGUAAAGCGUGUGGUAGAUUCAGACUACCUUAAAACUGAAAAAUGCUUAAACGCAAACAAUAACAAAGCUUUGGCUAUGGCUGCUUAAGUUAAGCAAUUAGCUAUCUUUUCACCUAGUGUCGCGGUGUUUAGAUUGGUUUAGACACAAAAUUUUGAAUGGGUGUCAAGACAUUCAAUCUAAUAAAUUUGACUAGUGUUUAAAAAUUUUGUUUGUGGAAGGUUUAAACAUAAAACAAAAACACAAACUACACACGUAGAAAAGUCCAAAGCAGCUUUUUCGGACGCGAGUUCGACUCUCGCCGUCUCCACCA